CCGCGAAAGCUAUUUAGGUAGCGCGUCAGGUGAUUACCCACGGGGGUAGAGCACUGUUUCGGCUAGGGGGUCAUCCCGACUUACCAAACCGAUGCAAACUCCGAAUACCGUGGAGUACAGCCUGGCAGACACACGGCGGGUGCUAACGUCCGUCGUGAAAAGGGAAACAACCCAGACCGCCAGCUAAGGUCCCCAAUACUGGUUAAGUGGGAAACGAUGUGGGAAGGCACAGACAGCUAGGAGGUUGGCUUAGAAGCAGCCAUCCUUUAAAGAAAGCGUAAUAGCUCACUAGUCGAGUCGGCCUGCGCGGAAGAUUUAACGGGGCUCAAACCAGUAACCGAAGCUGCGGGUGCUCACGCUUGCGUGGGCGCGGUAGCGGAGCGUUCCGUAGGCCAUUGAAGGAGAAUCGGGGAGGUUCUCUGGAGGUAUCGGAAGUGCGAAUGCUGACAUGAGUAACGACAAGGGAGGUGAAAAACCUCCCGCCGGAAGACCAAGGGUUCCUGCGCAACGGUAAUCGGCGCAGGGUGAGUCGGCCCUAAGGCGAGGGCGAGAGCCGUAG
This 559-nucleotide ribosomal RNA is filed under the name uncultured bacterium. Its description in RNAcentral is "bacterial LSU rRNA". It matches the Rfam family "Bacterial large subunit ribosomal RNA", at positions 857 to 1414 of the family's 2925-position model. The record is from RNAcentral.